This 202-nucleotide long non-coding RNA is filed under the name Mytilus galloprovincialis (Mediterranean mussel). The record is from RNAcentral. Lineage: Eukaryota; Metazoa; Mollusca; Bivalvia; Mytilida; Mytilidae.
UCUUUUGUUCUUAUGCUCGUUGCAUCUUUUUCUUUUUCUUCUUUCUUUUUUUUUUUUUUGGUUUCGUAUUAAUCUAAUAAGUUAAGCUGUUUUCACCCGAUUUCUGCAGCUUGUUCUUGUGUUGUGCUGGUACACCACUGUCCCAGGUUAGGGGAAGGUUGGUCGAGUGUUCACCACUUUUCUCAACCUCGCAACAUUUUUU